Mustela lutreola (European mink) is the source of this 1458-nucleotide long non-coding RNA. RefSeq lists it as uncharacterized. Lineage: Eukaryota; Metazoa; Chordata; Mammalia; Carnivora; Mustelidae. The record is from RefSeq and is a predicted model, not a curated record. The transcript is spliced from 3 exons.
AUUUGCUUCCUUUUAUCAACAGGUAAUGCUUUCACUCAACCACCAAAAAAAUGGAGAUAGUCGUAUAAGAACAAAAAACUGUCAGUGUGGUUUAAUUAGAGAAUGCAAGGUGAACAGAACUCCUGUCGAAUGUCUGGUUAGAAAAAAAGGGAUCGUGAAGUUGGAAUGUGUGAAGCUUUGUCCUGGGAACCUGUGGGGCUCAGGUUCCCCAUUCAAAACAGAAGGAGUCCAGCUGAAUGGGAUCCUGGCUCUUUGCUGGGUGUGAAUGUGACGUCUGUCCCUGUGGCCCCACCUGAGCCCAGCAUCCAGCCGAUAACCCCAGGACAACUCAGCGAACCACUAGCAAGUCCCAGACUCCUAUUACUUGGCGUAGAAAUAAAUGAAGACCAACCGAAUGAGAAAAACAAGACUCUUCACGGGGAGCUUGCCGGAGCAUGGGUCUCGGCCACAGGACUUGGCCACGGGACUCGGCUACCACCACGUGCUUUCGGGAGGGACCGAGACACUUUCUCCUGGCUCUGGGGGCACCCCGACAGAGGCUGUUGGCGCAUGGAAGCUGGGGUGGCUGAGCGGAAGUGGGGCACCCAGGUGGGUGGUUAGGGGAGCCCAUCUUUCUCUGUGUGGUUCUGAGUUAGCGGGUGGGGAGAGCGGUGAGAAUGGGGGAAGCUGGUCAUUUGUGCCCAGGUUCUGACCCUCGGGCCGAUUGCUGUGGAGCUUGGGGCCAGAGUUCUGUGUCAUCGAUGGUCCGGCUGUGUCCUUUUGCAGACCAGACGGUCUCUCCGGGUAAGCAUGUGCCGGUGGUGGUUCCACUGUCUCUACGAAGGAGAGACUUAAAGGGAUGGUUUGUGGCUGGAGAGUCAGGGGGCCUGUUAGGGAGCUGUGUGUGCAUCGGAAACUCGCUGACUCUACCUGGGUUAUUUGUUUAUUUGGAGGGGCUCUGGCGUCCGUGGCGCUGGGUGCGGUGACGCUUCUAGAGUGCACAUGUGAGCAGCAGAAAGGCUCUGAGAAUGGGCACCAAUUCCAGGUCCUAAAUCGAACAUUCCCGUUCUGUGCCAGACUCCGCUCACGGGGUCCGCUAACCCAAGAAUGUGCUUCGCGGGUCCCGGGGAAGCUCCUGUGAAAAUGAUGGCUAGGAAGCCGGGCGAGGGGACCCCUGCGGGGCGAGCGGGGCGACGGGCUUCGGAGUCACUUCAACAAAACCAAAUACUAACUAUGGAAAUUAACCAUUCCUCAAACUAAUUGAUUUAUAAGAUGAAUGGUCCUCUCAGAACCAAAAUAAUGAUAUUAAAUGGCAGAGUAACUGCAUUCGGGGUUAUUGAAAGGAAGGAAAAUCUCUGCUCCGACUGGAGUUAAUGGCCUGCCCCUGCCCUUCUGUCAACCUCUUCCGCUCGGAAUAUAUAUAUUUUCUCUCUUCUCCCAUCCGCGGAUUAUUAAUACCCAAAUGACUAUUGGAUUAAU